CGAACGGAGUCAUUUUGAAGUAGCAAUACGGAAGAAUGACUUAGUGGCGCACGGGUGAGUAACACGUAGGUAACCUGCCCUUAAGAGGGGGAAAACCCGCCGAAAGGCGAGCUAAUACCGCAUAAGACCACGAACUGAGAUGUUUGUGGUAAAAGGAGCAAUCCACUUAAGGAUGGGCCUGCGGCCUAUCAGGUAGUUGGUGAGGUAACGGCUCACCAAGCCUAAGACGGGUAGCCGGUCUGAGAGGACGGACGGCCACACUGGAACUGAGACACGGUCCAGACUCCUACGGGAGGCAGCAGUGGGGAAUUUUGCACAAUGGGCGAAAGCCUGAUGCAGCGACGCCGCGUGGAGGAUGAAGGUUUUCGGAUUGUAAACUCCUUUUGUAGGGGAAAAUAAUGAUGGUACCCUGCGAAUAAGCCACGGCUAACUCUGUGCCAGCAGCCGCGGUAAGACAGAGGUGGCGAGCGUUGUUCGGAAUUACUGGGCUUAAAGGGCGCGUAGGCGGUAAGAUAAGUCUGUGGUGAAAUCCUAUGGCUUAACCAUAGAAUUGCCAUGGAAACUGUUUUACUUGAGUCAGCGAGGGGAUGGUGGAAUUCCUGGUGUAGCAGUGAAAUGCGUAGAUAUCCGGAGGAAGGCCGGUGGCGAAGGCGGCCAUCUGGCGCUGAACUGACGCUGAGGCGCGAAAGCGUGGGUAGCAAACAGGAUUAGAUACCCUGGUAGUCCACGCCCUAAACGGUGGGCAUUAGGUGUAGGGCUCGUAAGGGUUCUGUGCCGUAGGGAAACCAUUAAAUGCCCCGCCUGGGGAGUACGGCCGCAAGGUUAAAACUCAAAGGAAUUGACGGGGGCCCGCACAAGCGGUGGAGCAUGUGGUUUAAUUCGACGCUACGCGAAGAACCUUACCUGGCUUGACAUGUAGUGGUAAAACCCGAAAGGGCGAUGACCCGAGCAUCGGGGAGCUAUCACAGUGCUGCAUGCUGUCGUCAGCUCGUGUCGUGAGAUGUUGGGUAGUCCCGCACGAGCGCAACCC
Molecule: ribosomal RNA, 1030 nt
Filed under: uncultured bacterium
Lineage: Bacteria
Description: bacterial SSU rRNA
Rfam family: Bacterial small subunit ribosomal RNA
Source: RNAcentral